UUGGAGGGCAAGUCUGGUGCCAGCAGCCGCGGUAAUUCCAGCUCCAAUAGCGUAUAUUAAAGUUGUUGCAGUUAAAAAGCUCGUAGUUGAAUUUCGGGAUCAAUGUUUCGGUCAUGCCGUUGGUAUGUACUGAUAUUAUUGGUUUCUCACCUUCUAAAGAGCCGUAAUGCCAUUAAUUUGGUGUCACGGGGAAUUAGGACUGUUACCUUGAAAAAAUUAGAGUGUUUAAAGCAGGCUCACGCUUGAAUACAUUAGCAUGGAAUAAUGAAAUAGGACAUCCGAUUCUAUUUUGUUGGUUUCUAGGAUCGAUGUAAUGAUUAAUAGGGAUAGUUGGGGGCAUUAGUAUUCAAUUGUCAGAGGUGAAAUUCUUGGAUUUAUUGAAGACUAACUACUGCGAAAGCAUUUGCCAAGGAUGUUUUCAUUAAUCAAGAACGAAAGUUAGGGGAUCGAAGACGAUCAGAUACCGUCGUAGUCUUAACCAUAAACUAUGCCGACUAGGGAUCGGAUGAUGUUAAUUUUUUAAUGACUCAUUCGGCACCUUAUGGGAAACCAAAG
Molecule: ribosomal RNA, 555 nt
Filed under: uncultured Glomus
Lineage: Eukaryota; Fungi; Glomeromycota; Glomeromycetes; Glomerales; Glomeraceae
Description: SSU rRNA
Rfam family: Eukaryotic small subunit ribosomal RNA
Source: RNAcentral